Molecule: non-coding RNA, 1169 nt
Organism: Aegilops tauschii subsp. strangulata
Lineage: Eukaryota; Viridiplantae; Streptophyta; Magnoliopsida; Poales; Poaceae
Source: RefSeq, a predicted model, not a curated record
CCGCUGAUCAUAAAAUCAAGACAGGCACCAUAGAAACCUAACCAUUUUUUGUUUGACCUUGCUCAUUUUUUAGUUCUCAAAUUACUGCUACAUUGUCAAUAGAUUUUUUUUGUCAAAAAUAGCUUUUUGCAGGGGUCUUCGUCACAUAGAUGGACAGGACGCGUGUAGACCAUCAUUGUACAUUUUUUGCCCAUGUAUAGUCGUUAAUCAAUACAAAAUAUAAUUACCCUGGAUUUGAGAUGUUAUCCUAUAUAACAACCAACCCCACUAAUCUAUUUAUCUUGACAUGCAGCAUAUCGGCCUCAACAUGUAUGCCCCACAUGUGCCACCUUCUGCCACGUCAGCGACUCUUUACAUGCAGCAUUCAGUUACCAAUGUGCAGAACAGACUGUCCACCUGCCUUCUCUCUGUUUCCACUUUCCAGCCAUAAAUCGUGGAUGCCUCUCUCCCUCCCUCAGAAAUAAACACAAACCGAUCGGCCUCUCUCCCCCAGAAAAAUUGACGCUAGUUUUCUCCUUGGCUACAGGUGUAGCAGGUCUGCAGGUGGGAGCCGAUCUGUGCAUCAAGGGUCCUCCCAUGGCAUGUCCGUUGGUGCUGCUCGCCUCCGCGGUUCUCUAAAAUUCUCUAUGGUAUGAUCCCCCUUGGCCCUUGCAGGUUUGGUGCCAUAUGUGCCCUAGUCCUCCCCUCCCGUGUGUGUCUCUAUUCAGGCUAAGACAGCUUCGGCGUCGUUGGGAAGGUCAGUACCGGCCGGUUCCAAUAGAAUCGGACCAGCUAUAGGAACGCCCAGUGUAGCCGAGUCCAAUCAGGUCACCACGCCAUCAAAUUUUCAAUAUUUUUCCUUCUCAUGCUAGAGGGAACGCAUUGGUGUGACGAGGCAGGGCCUCAGCCAUGGCGUUGAGGUUUUUCUUUUGGCUUGGAAGGAACGCCCAGUGUGCAGGAGUCCUUUCCUCUGAAUUUAGAACUCUGAUGUUUCUAACAGUAUGCAAGUUUGUAAAUUGCUCCAUUGAACAGAUUAGUAUACAAAGUGCUCUUUCCCAUCAGGUUAUUUUCAGCCAUGUUGUGGAUAUUUUUAUUUUGGCCUAGAAGGAACGCCCAGUGUACAUGUGUCCUUUCCUGUGAAUUUAAAACUAUGAUAUUUCUAUUAGUAUACAAGUUUGUACAUUGAUCCA